This 220-nucleotide long non-coding RNA is filed under the name Callithrix jacchus (white-tufted-ear marmoset). RNAcentral describes it as "lncRNA (ENSCJAG00000070439.1)". The record is from RNAcentral. Lineage: Eukaryota; Metazoa; Chordata; Mammalia; Primates; Cebidae.
UUUCUAAUAUCUCAUUUUAUUUUAAAUUUAUCUGCCAAGUUAGGCCAUAGUUGUUUUCCUCAUUUUACAGAUGGAAGAAAUAAAGUACAUGGUGGGAAGACUCUGGAUCAGGAAACAUGAAUUCAAGUCCCCAUUUAUCUAAAGUUGAAUCCUCAGUAGUUGCAGAAGUGAAUCCUUCUAACUCUGAAUGGUAUUGGUGAAUUGUCUUAGUGUGGAAACC